Molecule: ribosomal RNA, 404 nt
Filed under: uncultured bacterium
Lineage: Bacteria
Description: bacterial SSU rRNA
Rfam family: Bacterial small subunit ribosomal RNA
Source: RNAcentral
AUUGAACGCUGGCGGCAUGCCUUACACAUGCAAGUCGAGCGCGAAAGGGGGCAACCCCGAGUAGAGCGGCGGACGGGUGAGUAACACAUCGGAACGUGCCCAGUAGUGGGGGACAACCUCGAGAAAUCGAGGCUAAUACCGCAUACGACCCACGGGUGAAAGCGGGGGGCCCAAACGGAAAACUGAGGGCCUCGCGCUAUUGGAGCGGCCGAUGUCCGAUUAGCUAGUUGGCGGGGUAAGAGCCCACCAAGGCGACGAUCGGUAGCUGGUCUGAGAGGACGACCAGCCACACUGGGACUGAGACACGGCCCAGACUCCUACGGGAGGCAGCAGUGGGGAAUUUUGGACAAUGGGGGCAACCUGAUCCAGCCAUGCCGCGUGCGGGAAGAAGGCCUCGGUUGUAA